AGCAAAAAAAAAAGAAGCACUAAACGAAGAAUAAGAAUCCCACUCAUUCAUGCUGCAUUACAUCAAAAUGAAUAGCAUUCGGGGUGCCAUUGUUGGGAUGGAAUGCUAAUGUCGUUUUUGAAGGUUCGGUAUGGGAGAUCUCGUGGAAAAGAGCAGUGAUGAGCCAGCGGGCUCCUUGGACGAUGGAUCUUCAGAGAUGGUCGGGCUGGUGGAGAACUCUAGUGAUGGGAAGGUGAAGUUCGAUGAUUCUGGCCUCUCUUCUCAGCUCCAGAUUGGUCUGGAGAACCUCCGACUGGAGAAUUCACUCACAGAUGUUACUCUAUAUGUGGAUGGAAUGGAAUUCCCUUGCCACAGGGUUGUCCUAGCGGCUGCCAGCAAUUAUUUCAGGGCGAUGUUCUGUAAUGAUCUUAAAGAGAAACAUGAAGAUACAAUCGCAAUAAAAGGUGUAGAUUCAGAAACCAUGAAGAUCCUGCUGGAUUACACCUACACCAGCAAAGUACUCAUCACCAAGCAAAAUGUGCAGAGAAUACUUGAAGCGGCAAGUCUUUUCCAGUUCCUGCGGAUGGUUGAUGCCUGCGCAAACUUUCUCACUGAAGUUCUGCAUCCGGAUAACUGCGUCGGAAUUCUGCGGCUGGCCGACACUCACUCACUGGACACCCUGAGAACACGGGUCCAGAACUUCCUCAUCCAGAACUUCCCACAGGUCGUCACCUACGAAGAGUUCCUCGACCUCCCAGAGGACAUUUUCUGCAACAUCCUGAAGAGCGAUGAGCUGAGUGUGACCGAGGAAGAGCAGGUGUUUGAGACGGUCAUGAGCUGGGUCCAAUCCAGAGAGAAUGAGAGGCUGUCACUCUUACCAAACAUUCUGAAGCACGUCCGGCUGCCUUUGUUGGACCCCUGGUACUUUGUGGAGAGGGUUGAAGGGGACGAGUCGAUCCGGAAAUGUCCCGAAGUCUUUCCUCUCCUGCAAGAGGCAAGGAUGUACCAUCUGUCAGGGAAUGAGAUCAUUUCUGAGCGAACGAAGCCCAGGAUACAGGAAUUCCAGUCCGAAGUGUUCAUGAUUAUCGGAGGCUGUACUAAAGACGAGAAGUUUGUGUCGGAGGUGACCUGUCUGGAUCCGCUGCGGCGCAGCCGGCUCGAGGUGGCAAAGCUGCCCAUCACAGAGAUGGAGACCGAGGCAGAGAACAAGAAGUGGGUGGAGUUCGCCUGCAUCACAUUUAGGAAUGAAGUGUAUAUAUCAGGUGGAAAGGAGACCCAGCAUGACGUGUGGAAAUACAAUGCCUCUUUGAACAAAUGGAUCCAAAUCGAGUAUCUGAACACUGGCAGGUGGAGACACAAAAUGGCAGUGCUGGGAGGCAAAGUCUACGUGAUUGGUGGCUUUGAUGGGAUUCAGCGGCAGAACAGUGUGGAAACAUACGACGCCUUUCAUAACUGCUGGACUGAGGCUGCCCCUCUCAUGCUAAACGUGAGCUCCUUUGCUGCGACGAGUUACAAGAAGAAGCUGUACGUGAUUGGAGGAGGGCCGAAUGGAAAACUCGCCACGGAUAAGACACAGUGCUUUGACCCGUCAACUAAUAAAUGGACUUUAAAGUCCCCCAUGCCAAUCGAAGCCAAGUGCAUCAACGCUGUGACCUUCAAGGACCACAUCUAUGUAGUGGGUGGUGCAAUGAAAGCCCUCUACUCCUACAGCCCUGUGGGAGAUUCCUGGAGUCUGGUCACCAGGUUCAGCCACGAGAGAGCCAGCUGCGGGAUCGCCGCCUGCAGCAACAAGCUGUUUGUGACGGGUGGCAGGGACGAGAAGAACGAAGUAAUUGCGACUGUGCUGUGCUGGGACCCGGCUGCGCAGAAACUGACUGAAGAGUGCGUUCUCCCCAGGGGCGUCUCGCACCACGGCAGCGUCACCAUUCGGAAGUCCUACACUCAUAUACGCAGGAUCGUGCCGGGGGCGGUUUCAGUCUGACAGCAGCGAACUGGAGUGGAACAAAAACUAGCACUUUCACUUCUGAAAAUAGUGUUGUUUGUUUGUUUGUUUGUUUGUUUGUUUUUUUAAUACUUCUUUACCUCAGUUACCCGUUUGGAAUCUACUGUACAGCUGAAUGGGUCACCUGCUUUGAACAGGUGUCUAUCAGCUGCUUCUGUCUGUGUACCAUUAUCCUAAUCCACUGGAGUUUGGGUUAUACAACGUUGCACAACCAAGCACGUAACGUGCUAUCCUCACCUCACCUUCAUUUUGUUUGGCAGAUAAAAUGCAAUAACAACAAGUGAACAAGGAGAUUUACAGGUUACAGUACAGUAGGCUACAGCACAGGUUUCCUAAUCUCAACGAUGUUCCACUUCCAAAUCUUGUAUACAAGAAACGGGUUUAAUGGCAACUACCAGUAAUGAAUCCAUUGUUAUUUUGAUCCUGUCUUCAAGUUUGGUGGUUAUAUUGGGACUUUCAGGUGGCUGUUUUGACAACAAAGAUGCACUCUGCCAAUUGCCAAGAUCCUUGUAUUGUACCUUUACAGUAACGUCGUUCAUUUUGUAGCUUUCCUGGUACAGAAUCUUUGUCAUAUUGAGUUUUACUUGGAUAAUUUUCAUCCAUAAGCAAAUUUGUAUUCUGGUUGAGUAGACCUUUAAACCGUAAUGUACUGUAUAUUGAAACUAAUGCUUAAGCCGGUAAAGAGCCUAUGGAAAAAGAGCCUGAACAGAUUUUUAAAAGUGCGUGAUAAAGGUGUGAAAGCUAAGGAAUGGGCAUCCCUUUUUUUUGGCCAAAGUUCAGGAAUUGUCAAAAUAUGUAUUAAAUAUAAUUUAACCUAAUAGGAUGAUACUCACCCUCAAAAAAUAACAACCUGAAGAAAAACUUUGAUAACUACUGGAAACGAAACCGUGGCACGUGUUCCUAGCUCAGUAAUUUACUCACUGGAAAGAGAACAGACAGAAAUUACAAGAGACACAAUGUUAUACUGCUAACCAUUGUUAUGGUUGCUAUUUAUUUUGUUUUUACAGUUUACAUGAACUUCAAAGAUGUUUAACACACAGGGCCAGCAGUGGACGGAUGUUGUGAAUUAGGUUCCUGUAAUAAUUGCAGAAAUUAUCUUACGGGUUCGCUAAAAACAAACUUGCUUUGUUUACAUCACUUAGGCGCUUGCUACCAAAAAAAAAAGAAAAAAGUCUGAAAUUUACUGCUAACAGUUGAUUUAGUUUGAGAAAUAUGUGCAAACCUGUAAAGUAUGCAAAUAUGUAAUGAACAAUUUGAAAAAUGUGUUUACAAUUUGGUGUUUGUUGUUGUUUUUAAGGUGAACAGUCUUUGCAAUCGCUUUUCUCUGAUGCAUAUCGGCAGGAUAUUAUUCCCAAUUAGCAGCCACGAGGAAUCAGCAAAUGCAGAGGUCCUAAUAAAAAUCCAAAACGCACUUCUGUUUUUUCAAACAAUAAAACAGACAUCACAAAGAAGUGACACAGGGUCCUUGAAUAGGGCAGGUAACCUCCUGAAAUAAGUGGAAUGGAAAGGGAUUACAAAACGGAUUCCUCUUCUACUCACCUCAUCACUGAGACUUGCUGCUAGAUCAUUUCAAGAAGCCGAUAGUAUCCCCACAGUGGGUUUUAAUUGAUUAUUAAUCUCACCUACCACACCUGUGCAAACGUCCCGCUAACAAUUGCCUUGUGAUGAGCUGGUUCAGUUGACUGCUGCUGUUAAACAGAUGCAUUUCGUCUUGAGUUAACUGGUUUUCAACAGCAUUUUCCAAGUCAAUACUACAUAAACACAAUGCAAUAUUCUCUAAAUAUAAAAUUAGAAGAAACCCAGCCACAAUGCAUCUCGUUAACAGCAGUAAUUAACUGAGUUUUCUGCAGGGACGCUCGCACAGGUGUUGCAGCCGAGAGUAAUUACACUAUCUAAUUUGUAGUCUCACGUUGAUGCUGCAGAAAGCCCUUGUGUGAGGGAAUGGAAUGAGUCUUUAGCAGCUAAGCCUGUGGCUAUGAACCUUGCUCAGCUUUUUUUUUUAAAUAAGUUUCAAAGCUGUGAUGAAAAACAGAAACAAGAUAAGAAUUGGAAACUAAAUAACAUGCAUGACGCGUGGGUAAGAUCACAAUACUUUUCCUUAUUACCUGUAAGGGAAAUCCAAAUCCUGUGAUGAAAACAAGACUUCCAUUACAUAGCAGUUGGAGCCAAGUACAUUUACAGUGAGCUUAAUGAGGCACAACUAAUGCCCUAUCCACAAUACCUAUAUCAUUCACAAUCACUAUUCAAAGCAUCGUGCAUAAUUUACUGUAGGUCGUAUGAAUAGUAUAUAAGUUUUUUUCUCUCAAUCAUUUGCCUAAUCUGGUUUUAAAAAAUAAAAGAAAACAUCCCAGCCUCACAAUGCCAGUUCAGGUAGGUGAGGUGGUGUGAGUAGUGUUGGAUAGUGUGAUUACUUGCAGGUGACACAAGGGAAUAGUAAUUUUGUACAGACAUUUUCUUGGGUAUACUGUAAGGGCCCCUGAAAUAAAUUUCGCACUGCCCCUCAGAUCAUGAAAUCCCAAUACUAAUCUGCAAACCCACCCAAUACCAAGCACACCAAUCCAAAAUGCAGGUUUUCAUUUCAAGACUCUGAAUUCACAGGCCAUGCGAUGUAUUCAGCCAAGACUGUCCAAGAGGUGGCAGUCAAGACCACCAGGAAAUCUCUUCAGUGCAGCAUGAUGCUAUACAGUGAAACUUUACAAACUACUAACAACUGAUACCCAUUAAUAUAAUCACGUAUGCUUUAGAAAUCUAAGAUUUGUUUUAAGAAACACACUCUAGAUCAAAUCUAACAAGAUCUGAAUAUGCAGAUCCCUUGUCUUCAUUAAAAAAAACAUUUCCAGGAACAGAGGUUCAAUAAAAAAUACAUACCGGUACUACAGACACCAAUACUAUACCUUAAAUUCUGCAAAACAUAUUGAAUAUUUCCCAUUUCAAGCAAUGUUUUAAUCCUCACCACAUGCAUUAAGAUUAAACAGUCAAUUUAGACCCAGAAUUUGUGCACAACUACAUUGUAGACCAUGCUGCCAAAUUGUCUGGUAGUGGUUACUAUUAAAAGGGGAGGGUUAUUUAUUUACCAUAACCCUAAUAUAAGGCAGGGCAAAGGCCCUCUUUAACAAGCUGUUAACGGGGCAUCCAUCCUCGGCCAAGGCUGCCGCCUACACCAACUCUGCGCCUUACUCCCCUACUAACCCACCUACGCUGCCCUAUUAACUAGCAGGGCAGCCAGCAAGCUCUCAUAGGCCAGUCACCACGUCCCACAAGAGUCCGCUAAUGAUGACGUUUGACUACUAGGGAAAAUCUCACUGUUUCAGGGCCAUAGCCCUAGAACACUAUACAGCAGCAGCUAUCAAAAACAGCCCCAGUGCAAUCUUCAAUAGUAACCAUCAUGUCAGGAUAGUGGUUAACACAGCAGCUGUCAUCUUUCCCUUGGAGAAAUUGCAGCCUAACAAAGGAAACAACAACGAACAUUUUUAACCAGACAAACCCUAACAAUAUAAUCUUCUUAUGUACUAAGGGGCAAUGAUGGCACAGGGCAGCUACAAUGAAAUGACUCAUUUGUAGAAUAGUACCACAGUGGUAAGAUAUUGUUAUGUUGCCAAACUGAAACCAUAGCAACAGAGUGCUACUUCGUUAGGACUGCUAUCAGAAAUAUUUGUUCCAGGUCCAUUUUGUUACCAUUGCUAGGAAUGCUGUGGUCCGCUAAUGAUUCUGCCUAGUCUUCUCUUAUUUCUGAUGUACAAGAUGUUAUAUCCUCCCUGUUUUGCGAAUCCCCAACAACACAUGGCUGCAGUUUCUCCACAGAAUCCAUACCUCCUGCCUACAGUCCUUCAACGGAAGCAGACUGUCUGAUAUACAUGCACAUUCAUUCAUUGCAUAGGCCUCAAAUAUGCAGUUUUAAUAAACGAUUGAAAACAUAUCUGGUACUACACUAGAAUAAAGAAAUCUCUGUUUGCACACCUGGAGAGUGAAAUUGUUCCCACCCCUUCACUGGCUUCUUUCCUGCCAAUAACCAAUCAGCUGCUUCCGCUUUUGCCUGACAUGCUUUCAACCAGUAACAUGCUUUGACCCAGAAGACACUGCUGAGGUAAAAUGACCAAGGAAGUAAAGCAGAAACAGACCUCCUGGAAAGCAAGACAAGCAAACUGAGAACUGUGUGUAGUACCAGGUGUCUGUUGAAUAUGUUGAAGCUGAAUAUGGUCCUGCAUCCUGCUUUCGGCCGACGCACCUAAGUGCCUGAUGUUACUGUUGAACCGUAUUGAAGCUAUCAAACCCUGGAGGACAGCUAGAUUAGGUGUUCCCUUCCAGCCCGGGGGGUUCAGUGGUCAGUGCACUGCUCUCUUUGAACGACCUGCAAGCAUGACCAGGUUCCUUACAAGGUCAUUUUCUGCCCUGAUGGUUUUGAUUGGCUGGUGUAGAAGAAAGUGCAGCUCAAAGUGAAGGAUGCCAUGGCCAAGAUACUUAGUUAACACCUCCAUCACUCAUAACUGCCAUAUGCAAGGUAAAACUAUAAAACUAUAAAACUAUUUUAUAGUUAUAGUCAAGUUAUUAGUAUUAUUAGAAUUCUGAUUGAGCAUUUUAAAGGUGUAAUAUUAGCCCUCCACAAAAAAUAAAUUGUGAUCAUUUUAAUUGCUUUACUUCUGUAAAAUUCUUAACUGUACUGUGGAAUGUCAGCGGUCUAUUACACUGAUGCUUCAUUGAAAUAAUGGUCCACUUUGAUUAAAAAUAUUUUGAAUUGACUGAUGUAAAACAGUUUUCUGUUGGUCAAUUUAGUACACAUAUUUAUUUAUCUUUCCUGGCUGGUUUAAAUUGCUGGUAUCUGACUGAUCAAACUAAAACGUGUCUAAAUACUCUAUAAAUCAAAUAUGUUCACCCAGUGGCUCUUGU
Molecule: RNA transcript, 6865 nt
Organism: Acipenser ruthenus (sterlet)
Lineage: Eukaryota; Metazoa; Chordata; Actinopteri; Acipenseriformes; Acipenseridae
Gene: klhl6
Gene name: kelch-like family member 6
Exons: 8
Source: RefSeq, a predicted model, not a curated record